CUAAAUGGAUAUAUCUACCAUGGUGUAACUUGGGUUUACGUACGAUGGCCUAUUUAAAGUUCACAUGGGCCGGCAAUCUGCAGCGUCUCUGGAAUAUGGCUGUACCCAUGGCACGAUAGGGCAUGGAACAUAUGGUUCACACCUAAUAUUUUCUCAAGUUCUUUUCUUCCAUGGACAGCACACCACAUACCUGGUAUAAAGAUUGUGUUUAUAUGGUGCCACAUAAAAAAUGGUAGACCCAUCUUAAUCAUUUCCUUAUAAAAGUAGCUAUAGAACCCAAAGGGAAGAGCAUCCAUAACUAUACUAGCUAGCAGUUGGCAAGGCACACACAUAGCUAGCGUUCCCUAAUGGUUUACGAAGAUGGGUCUCCUUGCCCCCGAAAAAAAAAAAGGAUGGAUCUCCACUAGUCUCUAGGCACGGGAUGCAUCCAGGAAACAAGUAGCAUCCCCAAUUCAUGCAGCAAAGAUGCAAAGAUGGUCUUGGAAAGUCUUUUUAUCCAAAGACAAGACAUGUAUGAUGUUCAAGCAAGCAAAUUAAGGUAGUACGAAGUAGUUACAUCCACAAAAACAGUCU
This 573-nucleotide long non-coding RNA is filed under the name Brachypodium distachyon (stiff brome). RNAcentral's name for it is "long non-coding RNA (BDIS_LNC005333)". The record is from RNAcentral. Lineage: Eukaryota; Viridiplantae; Streptophyta; Magnoliopsida; Poales; Poaceae.